CUACCAUGAACAGAGACGUGGCAACCAGAACGACCACGCCAGGGCAUCCAUAGACGUGGCAACCAGAGCGACCAGGGCACGGCAUUCAGAGACGUGCUUUCUCCUCGGCGUUCCACAUACAAUGUCAGCGGCAUGGCUCGUAUGGUGGUAUGGAUCCCUACAGUUUGCAACUGUGUCUGUUGACACAAGAAAUGAAAUGGUUUGCAACCCUUUCGAGCAGGUCCCAGAUUUGGUGGUUGCAAACUAGAAUCUGAACAUUUAUAUUCAGAAGCUGGCUAUUAGAGGAUGACAAGUUGAACAAUUGUGAAUGAGUGAUGGGACUGUUUUGCCUCACAAGUUGG
Long non-coding RNA from Cryptomeria japonica (Japanese cedar), 341 nucleotides. RefSeq lists it as uncharacterized. The transcript is spliced from 3 exons. NCBI's taxonomy places the organism in Eukaryota, Viridiplantae, Streptophyta, Pinopsida, Cupressales, Cupressaceae. The record is from RefSeq and is a predicted model, not a curated record.